CAGUAGCCACGGGAAUACGAGGGGGGCAAGCGUUGUUCGGAAUUAUUGGGCGUAAAGGGCGCGUAGGCGGUUUGGCAAGUUUGGUGUGAAAUCUUCGGGCUCAACUCGAAGUCUGCACCGAAAACUGCCGGGCUUGAGUAUGGGAGAGGUGAGUGGAAUUUCCGGUGUAGCGGUGAAAUGCGUAGAUAUCGGAAGGAACACCUGUGGCGAAAGCGGCUCACUGGACCAUUACUGACGCUGAGGCGCGAAAGCUAGGGGAGCAAACAGGAUUAGAUACCCGGGUAGUCCCUGUCUCUUAUAC
Molecule: ribosomal RNA, 301 nt
Filed under: uncultured bacterium
Lineage: Bacteria
Description: partial 16S ribosomal RNA
Rfam family: Bacterial small subunit ribosomal RNA
Source: RNAcentral